Prosopis cineraria is the source of this 1675-nucleotide RNA transcript. It is a transcript of the gene named U1 small nuclear ribonucleoprotein A, with no coding region annotated. The transcript is spliced from 11 exons. The record is from RefSeq and is a predicted model, not a curated record. Lineage: Eukaryota; Viridiplantae; Streptophyta; Magnoliopsida; Fabales; Fabaceae.
UGCUUGUUGAUAAUUUCGUCAGCAGAAACCUGCUGAGGCCUGAUGUUUGUUGCUACAUUGCUAUGACAAUAGAUACUUUUCUGUGAAGAGUAAUAUGACUGCUCUCUCUCUGUGGAACUGGAACUGGAGUCUUUUCAGGGAGGGAUCCUCCUAUUCAGAGCUCCAAUCGAGCCCCAUGGACGACAUGGCUGCCUACUACACACAGUCCCAACCCUCGACACAUCAUACUUUUCCAUAUUAUCAACAUCCUCAUCCGUCGUCGCUUGCGGUGGUGCCACCACCUCCUGGGGCGGCUGCUCCUCCGGUCCCUCCCCAUCUUCCUUCGCAGUAUGGGUCCUACCAGCAACCCUUGUUUUCUUCUUACGGCCCUCCUAAUCCACUUCAGUAUUCCGCCGACGAGGUUCGGACUCUCUUCAUCGCCGGCCUUCCCGAGGAUGUGAAGCCUCGCGAAAUCUACAAUUUGUUUCGAGAGUUCCCCGGAUACGAGUCAUCACAUCUUCGGAGCCCGACUGAAUCGUCGCAGGCUUUUGCUUUUGCUGUAUUCUCUAAUCAGCAGUCUGCACUUAUGGCAAUGCAUGCGUUAAAUGGGAUGGUCUUUGACCUUGAAGAGGGGUCAACUCUAUAUAUAGAUUUAGCGAAAUCCAACUCUAGGUCUAAGCGCACAAGACUAGAUGAUGAAAUAGUUGGCUCAGAUAAGAAGGCUAGAGGAUCUUCUUUUUCAGCAGCAACUCCUGAUUCCGCAGGUGUUGGCAGCAUACACAUGCCUGGAAUGGGUAAUUCUGCUUACAACACAAACACGUAUGGUUAUCCAUCUGCACGAAGCCCAUGGUAUGUUGAUGGUAAAGCUUUUAAUGACAGUGCAGCACCAAAUUUGAGUAACUCCUCUCGCAUUCCACAAAAUGCGACCCCAUGUCCAACUUUAUUUGUGGCUAACCUGGGGCCAUCUUGUACUGAGCAAGAGCUAAUGCAAGUAUUUUCCAGAUGUCCUGGAUUUUUGAAACUGAAGAUGCAGAGCACAUAUGGAGCUCCAGUUGCAUUUGUUGAUUUUCAGAGUACAGCUUGUUGGAAACGCUGCAGUGCUUCUCUUCACCUUGGAUUUGUGCUGGGGUGCGGAAACCGGAGAAGCUAGCAGAAUCAAAUCUGAUGUCGCCAGAGAUGGAAGAAUGGCGAUGGUGGUGAUCAGUUUGGAUGAGCCUAUUCAAGCACGAAUCAAAGGAUUGUUAUUGGACUGACGGGGUCCCCUCUGGGUGAGAUACUAGCUCUGGUCAAAUGGUGGUGGCGAAGUGUGCAUCAAAGAUGGAAAGAAGCCCCAUUGAACCCCAGUGGGGUCAUAGCAGAGAAUGGUGGAUCAUGUUGAUGUUGACGGUGGUGCUGGAAAGGGCAUUUUAGUAAAUGCACUCCAAAACUUGUUUACAAUUAAAGCCCAUGGGAUCUCUCAGUUAUUAUUGCAUUUUGUGGGACUUUCUGGUAAUUAGAAUUCAUCUAUGGGACCUCCGCAUGAUUUUUCCUAUAAAACAAGUGCAAUGAUGAUGAUGACAUGAAAAUUGUUGCGAAAUCUGUCAGCGCAUUAAAUUUAAACCAGUAUAGGUUUGUUUUUAGAAGUAAUUCAUAUCAUUUGGACGUGUUGAUACUAAUCUAUUCAUUUCUGACAAUUUGGGGCUUGAUCCGACUGAUC